This 305-nucleotide ribosomal RNA is filed under the name uncultured bacterium. RNAcentral's name for it is "bacterial SSU rRNA". It matches the Rfam family "Bacterial small subunit ribosomal RNA", at positions 338 to 661 of the family's 1533-position model. The record is from RNAcentral.
CCUACGGGGGGCAGCAGUAGGGAAUCUUCCACAAUGGACGAAAGUCUGAUGGAGCAACGCCGCGUGCGGGAUGAAGGCCUUCGGGUUGUAAACCGCUUUCAGCAGGGAAGAGACAGACGGUACCUGCAGAAGAAGCCCCGGCUAACUACGUGCCAGCAGCCGCGGUAAUACGUAGGGGGCGAGCGUUAUCCGGAUUCAUUGGGCGUAAAGCGCGCGCAGGCGGACCGUUAAGCGGGACCUCUAAUCCUGGGGCUCAACCUCAGGCCGGGUCCCGAACUGGCGGUCUCGAGUGCGGUAGGGGAGGG